Molecule: ribosomal RNA, 462 nt
Filed under: Triticum aestivum (bread wheat)
Lineage: Eukaryota; Viridiplantae; Streptophyta; Magnoliopsida; Poales; Poaceae
Description: partial small subunit ribosomal RNA
Source: RNAcentral
AUGAGUUAUUCGUCAUCUUCAUCUGGCGACGAUGAACUCAUACUUGCAGCAUUCGCCGAGCGCGAGAAGGAAGAGAGGAAGAACGCUCGACGCCAUGGCGGUUCCAAGCAUGGACGUCAGUCAAUCGAUCGAGGAAGAGAUUUCGGAUUUCUUCUUCUGUGCGACGACUACUUCAAAGAAGUUCCUCGCUUUCCCGAACAUUUGUUUCGACGAAGAUUUAGGAUGUCGCAUACUUUGUUCAACCGCAUAGCUGAUGGUAUACUUGGGUUACAUCCUUUGCAAAAGAUGACCGCGGCGAUGCGGAUACUAACAUAUGGAAUAGCAGCUGAUUAUGUUGAUGAGUAUAUCCGGUCCGCUGAGUCUACUAAUUUAGAGUCUUGCAAGAAAUUUGUGAUCAAAAUUUGUGAAGUUUUAGGCGCAUACCUUUUCUUCUAUAGUCCUUCCACUUUCUUGCCUAUUUAA